GGAGAAAGCGAGUUGUUGAAAUCAUUGAUUUUAUAUGAUUUUAUUAAUCUGCGCAUAAGCCUGCUAAGCGUGUAACGGGUGUUAAGCUCGUUCGAGAGUUCAAAUCUCUCCUUCUCCGCCA
RNAcentral lists this transfer RNA (121 nucleotides) under Pseudodesulfovibrio sp. RNAcentral's name for it is "tRNA-Ser". The record is from RNAcentral. Lineage: Bacteria; Pseudomonadati; Thermodesulfobacteriota; Desulfovibrionia; Desulfovibrionales; Desulfovibrionaceae.